Molecule: ribosomal RNA, 467 nt
Filed under: uncultured bacterium
Lineage: Bacteria
Description: partial 16S ribosomal RNA
Rfam family: Bacterial small subunit ribosomal RNA
Source: RNAcentral
GAUGAACGCUGGCGGCGUGCUUAACACAUGCAAGUCGAACGGUGAAGCAGAGCUUGCUCUGUGGAUCAGUGGCGAACGGGUGAGUAACACGUGAGCAACCUGCCCCUGACUCUGGGAUAAGCGCUGGAAACGGCGUCUAAUACUGGAUAUGAGCUGCGACCGCAUGGUCAGCAGUUGGAAAGAUUUUUCGGUCUGGGAUGGGCUCACGGCCUAUCAGCUUGUUGGUGAGGUAAUGGCUCACCAAGGCGUCGACGGGUAGCCGGCCUGAGAGGGUGACCGGCCACACUGGGACUGAGACACGGCCCAGACUCCUACGGGAGGCAGCAGUGGGGAAUAUUGCACAAUGGGCGAAAGCCUGAUGCAGCAACGCCGCGUGAGGGAUGACGGCCUUCGGGUUGUAAACCUCUUUUAGCAGGGAAGAAGCGAAAGUGACGGUACCUGCAGAAGAAGCGCCGGCUAACUACGUG